Long non-coding RNA from Polypterus senegalus (gray bichir), 468 nucleotides. RefSeq lists it as uncharacterized. The transcript has 2 exons. The record is from RefSeq and is a predicted model, not a curated record. Lineage: Eukaryota; Metazoa; Chordata; Cladistia; Polypteriformes; Polypteridae.
CGUUGACGUCAUCAUCACUGCGACGGACUUUCUUGUGUUUGGACAUCUACGCGAUAGAGGUUUUAUUUUUAAAACUGUAUGCGCAGUUUGGGAAGAAAUGUGACAUUUCAUAGGGCUUUUAAACUGCUUGACCAUGCUUUGAGACGUUUAAACAUGGUUACAAAGGCUCACACUUAAGACUUAGAUGACAGGCAGGCAACAAGACACUUUAAAUUUAAAGGAUUUUAACACAUGCUUUAGGAGAGAGAGGAGACAACUCAAUCAGAUUUUGCCAUCUACAGCUCCCCACUCUGCUCCUAGACAUUAAACCUGGCUGAAGAAAACAAACACGGCAACAACCAAAGUGCACAGCCACCUGAAAUAAAGCUUUCUGUGUGACCCAGAUGUGAAUUGUUUAGUUUGUAUGUUUUCAUAUCUGAACAUUUACACUUGGUUUUUCCUUAAAAUAAACGUAACUAAUGAUUGAAA